AUUGAACGCUGGCGGCAUGCUUUACACAUGCAAGUCGAACGGCAGCGGGGGCUUCGGCCCGCCGGCGAGUGGCGAACGGGUGAGUAAUGCAUCGGAACGUGCCCAGUCGUGGGGGAUAACACAUCGAAAGAUGUGCUAAUACCGCAUACGUCCUGAGGGAGAAAGCGGGGGGAUCUUCGGACCUCGCGCGUCUGGAGCGGCUGAUGGCAGAUUAGGUAGUUGGUGGGGUAAAGGCUUACCAAGCCUGCGAUCUGUAGCUGGUCUGAGAGGAUGAUCAGCCACACUGGGACUGAGACACGGCCCAGACUCCUACGGGAGGCAGCAGUGGGGAAUUUUGGACAAUGGGGGCAACCCUGAUCCAGCCAUGCCGCGUGAGUGAAGAAGG
This 385-nucleotide ribosomal RNA is filed under the name uncultured bacterium. RNAcentral's name for it is "bacterial SSU rRNA". It matches the Rfam family "Bacterial small subunit ribosomal RNA", at positions 28 to 414 of the family's 1533-position model. The record is from RNAcentral.